AAUCAACGCUGGUGGCGUGCCUAACACAUGCAAGUCGAACGAGGAAAGUGGAGCAAUCCAUGAGUAAAGUGGCGCACGGGUGAGUAACACGUGACUAACCUACCCUUGAGUCGGGGAGUAACCUAGGGAAACCUGGGCUAAUACCGCACUAAUAUCGAGAGAUCAAAGGAGCAAUUCGCUUAAGGAGGGGUCGCGGCUGA
RNAcentral lists this ribosomal RNA (200 nucleotides) under uncultured bacterium. RNAcentral describes it as "partial 16S ribosomal RNA". It matches the Rfam family "Bacterial small subunit ribosomal RNA", at positions 32 to 240 of the family's 1533-position model. The record is from RNAcentral.